AAGGCUUUAAGUUAAUUAAACUAUUAUCCUUCAAAGUUAGAAAUAUAAUUUGUUAUAAGUCUUA
This 64-nucleotide transfer RNA is filed under the name Tettigades lacertosa. RNAcentral's name for it is "tRNA-Trp". Lineage: Eukaryota; Metazoa; Arthropoda; Insecta; Hemiptera; Cicadidae. The record is from RNAcentral.